GACGAACGCUGGCGGCGUGCCUAAUACAUGCAAGUAGAACGCUGAAGGAGGAGCUUGCUUCUCCGGAUGAGUUGCGAACGGGUGAGUAACGCGUAGGUAACCUGCCUGGUAGCGGGGGAUAACUAUUGGAAACGAUAGCUAAUACCGCAUAAGAGUAGAUGUUGCAUGACAUUUGCUUAAAAGGUGCAAUUGCAUCACUACCAGAUGGACCUGCGUUGUAUUAGCUAGUUGGUGGGGUAACGGCCCACCAAGGCGACGAUACAUAGCCGACCUGAGAGGGUGAUCGCUCACACUGGGACUGAGACACGGCCCAGACUCCUACGGGAGGCAGCAGUAGGGAAUCUUCGGCAAUGGACGGAAGUCUGACCGAGCAACGCCGCGUGAGUGAAGAAGGUUUUCGGAUCGUAAAGCUCUGUUAAGAGAAGAACGAGUGUGAGAGUGGAAAGUUCACACUGUGA
This 458-nucleotide ribosomal RNA is filed under the name Streptococcus mitis. RNAcentral's name for it is "bacterial SSU rRNA". It matches the Rfam family "Bacterial small subunit ribosomal RNA", at positions 28 to 472 of the family's 1533-position model. Lineage: Bacteria; Bacillati; Bacillota; Bacilli; Lactobacillales; Streptococcaceae. The record is from RNAcentral.